Molecule: ribosomal RNA, 492 nt
Filed under: uncultured bacterium
Lineage: Bacteria
Description: partial 16S ribosomal RNA
Rfam family: Bacterial small subunit ribosomal RNA
Source: RNAcentral
AGUGAACGCUGGCGGUAGGCCUAACACAUGCAAGUCGAACGGCAGCACAGUAAGAGCUUGCUCUUACGGGUGGCGAGUGGCGGACGGGUGAGGAAUACAUCGGAAUCUACUUUUUCGUGGGGGAUAACGUAGGGAAACUUACGCUAAUACAGCAUACGACCUACGGGUGAAAGCAGGGGAUCUUCGGACCUUGCGCGAUUGAAUGAGCCGAUGUCGGAUUAGCUAGUUGGCGGGGUAAAGGCCCACCAAGGCGACGAUCCGUAGCUGGUCUGAGAGGAUGAUCAGCCACACUGGAACUGAGACACGGUCCAGACGCCUACGGGAGGCAGCAGUGGGGAAUAUUGGACAAUGGGCACAAGCCUGAUCCAGCCAUACCGCGUGGGUGAAGAAGGCCUUCGGGUUGUAAAGCCCUUUUGUUGGGAAAGAAAAGCAGCAGGUUAAUACCCCGCUGUUCUGACGGUACCCAAAGAAUAAGCACCGGCUAACUUCGUG